CAGCACAGGGCCACACCAAGAAAAGAUGGAGAGAGAAAGAAGCUAUGGUGUAAAAAACAGUAAUGAGGCUGACCCCUUCUGAGCGAGUGCAGUGCUGAUCUAAUUGAAGUUUGACUGAAGUGGAAAGAAUGGCAGUUCCACAUCAUGACUGUCAACUGAGCAUCUCAGCUGAGCCAUGGAGCAGGCUAUACCUUCUCUGGGUAAUGGAGGGAGAUUGCCUGAAAAAGAAUUUGCCCAUGCAAUUUCCAGAGUAACAACAGGCUUAGGGGGAAAAAAAUCUGUUUAAAAUGAUGCACUUUUCAAUUAUCAUGUGUCUUGUAUACUGCUAAUGGUACUGCUUGUCAAUUAUUAUUAAUGAGGAUAAUUUUAAUAACAGUCAGAUUAAUCUGUGAUGUCACUUAACCAACUAUUAAUAAACACGCCAUAGGUCUUCCCUUUUUCUCUUGAUGGCACAGUCUUGGUGAUUCUUGUAAAUGUGAAGCUGCUUCUGGGUCAACGCAACAAAUCAGUGUAUUGGGGACAGGUGGUGAAGCCAGGUGGGAAGACAGCCGUCUUCCUCAAUGAACAGGCACCAGCCUCCUUGUAAUUCUUUUCCUGUCACUAGAGGACUCAGGACACAUAUGUGCCUUUCAAAACAGGUCAGGAAGAAAAGGGAGAAGCAGCAGCAAGGAGUUUUCCCCAGAGAA
This is a long non-coding RNA of Cebus imitator (Panamanian white-faced capuchin), 686 nucleotides long. RefSeq lists it as uncharacterized. Lineage: Eukaryota; Metazoa; Chordata; Mammalia; Primates; Cebidae. The record is from RefSeq and is a predicted model, not a curated record. The transcript is spliced from 3 exons.